This 125-nucleotide small nucleolar RNA is filed under the name Hanseniaspora valbyensis NRRL Y-1626. Its description in RNAcentral is "Small nucleolar RNA SNORD14". It matches the Rfam family "Small nucleolar RNA SNORD14". Rfam says of the family: U14 small nucleolar RNA (U14 snoRNA) is required for early cleavages of eukaryotic precursor rRNAs. In yeasts, this molecule possess a stem-loop region (known as the Y-domain) which is essential for function. Lineage: Eukaryota; Fungi; Ascomycota; Saccharomycetes; Saccharomycodales; Saccharomycodaceae. The record is from Rfam by way of RNAcentral.
CUAAGGUGAUGAAAAAAUGGUUUUCCUGACAUUCGCAGUUUCCACGGUAGGGGUACGCUCUAUACGAACCUAAUUAGUGCCCUAAAUGUCCGCUAGAUAAUUUUCUUCCUAGGAUGUCUGAUUAG